ACUCGGAAUCCCAUGUGCUGACAGCGGAUUCGCAU
Molecule: non-coding RNA, 35 nt
Filed under: Mycobacterium tuberculosis
Lineage: Bacteria; Bacillati; Actinomycetota; Actinomycetes; Mycobacteriales; Mycobacteriaceae
Source: RNAcentral